This 80-nucleotide transfer RNA is filed under the name Herbinix luporum. It matches the Rfam family "tRNA". From Rfam's summary of the family: Transfer RNA (tRNA) molecules are approximately 80 nucleotides in length. The record is from Rfam by way of RNAcentral. RNAcentral also lists the same sequence under 2 other names. Lineage: Bacteria; Bacillati; Bacillota; Clostridia; Lachnospirales; Lachnospiraceae.
GCGGAUGUGGCGGAAUUGGCAGACGCGCUAGACUUAGGAUCUAGUGGGCGACCGUGGGGGUUCGAGUCCCUUCAUCCGCA